CGGGGUAUCGUAUAGUGGUAGUACGCAUGGCUGGGGGUCAUGUAGUUCUGGUUCGAUUCCGGAUACCCCGACCA
Molecule: transfer RNA, 74 nt
Filed under: bacterium
Lineage: Bacteria
Description: tRNA-Pro
Rfam family: tRNA
About the family: Transfer RNA (tRNA) molecules are approximately 80 nucleotides in length. Their secondary structure includes four short double-helical elements and three loops (D, anti-codon, and T loops).
Source: RNAcentral